CCUAAGUCCUUAGUUCCAGUUUGUGCAAAACAGAAUCAUGUCUCCUUCCUCUGCUGACUAUGUAUCUCCAAAGAAGUCAAGGGUCCUGCAGGACAAUUCUUUGUGAUCUGCAAUGUUGCACAUUGGCCAGCUUGUUUUCUAGUACCCCACAUUGAUUGAGAUUUCCAGAAGUACGAAUUCUUCAGGUCUGGAGUCCAUCCUGCUCAUCUUUUAAGAAAUGCACAAUGCCUGUGAUUAAACCUCCAGCCAAGACCUACAGAUAAACACAAAGCAACAAAAACUGAUGUAUAUAGUAGAAGAUGUAAACAUGAAACAGAACAAAAUUUAUGUUAUAUUUAAUAAAAACAGCAAAUAAAGUGCAAAUUAUAUACUAUUAAGAGAAAAAUAAAUCAAUGACCAGAAAUUAACAUAAAAGGAAUACAGAUGGUGGAGUUAAUAGUUAAAGACAUUAAAACAACUGUUAUAAGCACAUUUUUUAAAAUGGUAACAGAUACCAAACUUUUCAGCCUUUAUAAUUCCCAGCUCCUGGAAGUUUCAUAGGUCUGAGAUGUUAUGACUCUUGCUAUACGCAGUCCACUAAUACCCUGUCCUAACUCACCACAACUUCAUGCUUGUCAGUCACACUGUAAUUCCAAACCAGUAAUAACCUUUCUUAAAGCUCCACAUCUGACUCAUUUUGAGAUUUCUCCUUAAUUGUGAUUAGUUUUGUGCAAUGUGAUUAUAAUGAUGAACCUGAGUAUUUACUAUUUAUUAGUCCUAGGGUUCACUUAAAUUUUUGGAUCUGUAUUUUUAUAAUCUUUAUAGUAAAAAUUUCAACCACUAGUUUUCACAUAACUUUUUUUUAUUCAGUUCCUUGGCAUCCACCAUGACUCUGCCCAUUUGUGUUUUCAAUACUCACAGAUAUCAGGGCCAGUGGUGCUAUUAGACUCUCCUGAGAGUCUAUUCAUUUUUUCAACAGUGUUUUCUUUUCUCUUUCAGUUUGGAUAACUUCCAUUUCUGGGCCUUCAAAGGGAGUAAUCCAUUUUCCUGUAAUGUCUUGUCUGGCAUCAAUUCAGUGUGUUUCUCAAUAUCGACACUGUAUUUUUUUUUUAAUUUUUAGAUGUUUCUAAAUUGAAGUUAACACAUUUGAUCUGUUUUCUGGAUUCUUGCACAUAUGGUUUUCAGUAAUGAUAACUGUUGUAAUGUUCUGCCUGCUAACUCCAUCAUCCGUAUUGUUUUACUCCUUUUGAAUUAACUUUUCUUUUCCUUAAUGGAAUAUAUCUUGCUGCCUAAACUGGUUUUUGUUGGCUAUCAAUAAUUGUGAAUUAUACAAUUUUGGUACUGAAUGUUUUUGUAGUUCUAUAAAAGUUCCUGAGAUUUC
Molecule: long non-coding RNA, 1360 nt
Organism: Grammomys surdaster
Lineage: Eukaryota; Metazoa; Chordata; Mammalia; Rodentia; Muridae
Exons: 3
Source: RefSeq, a predicted model, not a curated record